This 253-nucleotide unclassified non-coding RNA is filed under the name uncultured Chlamydiales bacterium. RNAcentral's name for it is "contains 16S-23S intergenic spacer region". It matches the Rfam family "Bacterial small subunit ribosomal RNA", at positions 524 to 776 of the family's 1533-position model. The record is from RNAcentral. Lineage: Bacteria; Pseudomonadati; Chlamydiota; Chlamydiia; Chlamydiales.
UACGGAGGGUGCAAGCAUUGAUCGGAAUUACUGGGCGUAAAGGGCGCGUAGGCGGUUUGUUAAGUCAGAUGUGAAAUUCCGGGGCUCAACCCCGGAACUGCAUUUGAAACUGGCAGGCUAGAGUGUAGUUAGGGUAAACGGAAUUCCACGUGUAGCGGUGAAAUGCGUAGAUAUGUGGAAGAACACCGGUGGUGAAGACGGUUUACUGGGCUAUAACUGACGCUGAGGCGCGAAAGCAUGGGGAGCAAACAGG